GCGGCGGCGGCGGCCGCAGCCGGAGCCGCGCCCGUGUCGCCUUUCCGGUAACGGCGGAGGCGGCCAGGGGCGAGGGGAGAGCCCCGGCGAGGUAAAUCCCUGAGGCGUGAGCAGCAUUGCUUCCCCAGGGGUGGCUUCUUGGCCGUAGCAGUGACAGCGAAGGGUCCAUCCAGCAGGAUCAGACAGGCACAGUGGGAAGCGGAGCCAGAGACAAGGCCAUGAUACAAGACUGAGGUGUCCAUCCAGGAGCCAGGACAAGAGACAAGCUGCCUACAAGCCCACCCAGGAGGCAGGACUGGAAAUAGGUACACCUACCUCACAGCUCGGGUAAGGACUGAAGGCUCAGACCUGAGCUUAAACAGAGCUCCUUGGCCCACGGACAGCGAACUUGGAUGAAAAGUCCCAGGUGAGGACCACAUGCUGUGAGACGACACAGUCUGGAACAGAAAAGGACUGAUACUUUCCAUAAAACCUGAUACUGCUUUUUCUGAGCAGUGAAGAAUAAUUGGGAUCUCACGAUGCUAUACUGAAACAGUUCAUCCUUUGUGAUAGUUAACAACCACAACUUCCAUGAAUAAAUUACAGCUUUAAAUGGAGUUAUAAUGGAAAGGAAA
Long non-coding RNA from Rhea pennata, 614 nucleotides. RefSeq lists it as uncharacterized. Lineage: Eukaryota; Metazoa; Chordata; Aves; Rheiformes; Rheidae. The transcript has 4 exons. The record is from RefSeq and is a predicted model, not a curated record.